RNAcentral lists this ribosomal RNA (253 nucleotides) under uncultured bacterium. Its description in RNAcentral is "partial 16S ribosomal RNA". It matches the Rfam family "Bacterial small subunit ribosomal RNA", at positions 524 to 776 of the family's 1533-position model. The record is from RNAcentral.
UACGGAGGGUGCAAGCGUUAUCCGGAUUCACUGGGUUUAAAGGGUGCGUAGGUGGGUCUGUAAGUCCGUGGUGAAAUCUCCAAGCUUAACUUGGAAACUGCCAUGGAUACUAUAGGUCUUGAAUACCGUGGAGGUGAGCGGAAUAUGUCAUGUAGCGGUGAAAUGCUUAGAUAUGACAUAGAACACCAAUUGCGAAGGCAGCUCGCUACACGAAUAUUGACUCUGAGGCACGAAAGCGUGGGGAUCAAACAGG